UGGGGAAUAUUGGACAAUGGGGGCAACCCUGAUCCAGCAAUGCCGCGUGAGUGAAGAAGGCCCUCGGGUUGUAAAGCUCUUUCAUCAGCGAAGAUAAUGACGGUAACUGAAGAAGAAGCUCCGGCUAACUCCGUGCCAGCAGCCGCGGUAAUACGGAGGGGGCUAGCGUUGUUCGGAAUUACUGGGCGUAAAGAGCACGUAGGCGGAUCAAAAAGUUAGAUGUGAAAUCCCUAAGCUUAACUUAGGAACUGCAUUUGAAACUAGUGAUCUAGAAUUUGGCAGGGGAUAGUAGAAUUUCCAGUGUAGAGGUGAAAUUCGUAGAUAUUGGAAAGAAUACCAGUAGCGAAGGCGACUAUCUGGACCAACAUUGACGCUGAGGUGCGAAAGCGUGGGUAGCAAACAGG
This 404-nucleotide ribosomal RNA is filed under the name uncultured bacterium. RNAcentral describes it as "bacterial SSU rRNA". It matches the Rfam family "Bacterial small subunit ribosomal RNA", at positions 355 to 776 of the family's 1533-position model. The record is from RNAcentral.